CCUACGGGAGGCAGCAGUGAGGAAUAUUGGUCAAUGGCCGUAAGGCUGAACCAGCCAAGUAGCGUGAAGGAAGAAGGAUCUAUGGGUUGUAAACUUCUUUUAUAGGGGAAUAAAGGUAUCCACGUGUGGAUAUUUGCAUGUACCCUAUGAAUAAGCAUCGGCUAACUCCGUGCCAGCAGCCGCGGUAAUACGGCGGAUGCGAGCGUUAUCCGGAUUUAUUGGGUUUAAAGGGUGCGUAGGUUGUUUUUUAAGUCAGCGGUGAAAGUUUGUGGCUCAACCAUAAAAUUGCCGUUGAUACUGGCAGACUUGAGUGUGUUUGAGGUAGGCGGAAUGCGUGGUGUAGCGGUGAAAUGCAUAGAUAUCACGCAGAACUCCGAUUGCGAAGGCAGCUUACUAAGCCAUAACUGACACUGAAGCACGAAAGCGUGGGGAUCAAACAGGAUUAGAUACCCCGGUAGUC
RNAcentral lists this ribosomal RNA (460 nucleotides) under uncultured bacterium. RNAcentral's name for it is "partial 16S ribosomal RNA". It matches the Rfam family "Bacterial small subunit ribosomal RNA", at positions 338 to 795 of the family's 1533-position model. The record is from RNAcentral.